UUCCGGUUGAUCCCGCCGGACCCCACUGCUAUCGAGAUGGGACUAAGGUAUGCUAGUCGAACGACCAGAACUAUGUCUGGGAGUGGCACACUGCUCAGUAACACGUAGCUAACCUACCCUUAGGACGUGGAUACCCCCGAGAAAUUGGGGUUAAUCCGCGAUAGAUGUAAUGUCCUGGAAUGGUAUUACGUCUAAAGGUAUUUCAUACAUGUUUGAAAUAUGCCUAAGGAUGGGGCUGCGGCCGAUCAGGCUGUUGGUGAGGUAAUGGCUCACCAAACCUUUGACCGGUACGGGCCAUGAGAGUGGUAGCCCGGAGAUGGACACUGAGACAAGGGUCCAGGCCCUAAGGGGCGCAGCAACCGCGAAACCUCCACAAUGCACUCACGUGCGAUGGGGCUAUCUCGAGUGCCACCUGAUGAAGGUGGCUUUUCCUAGGUCUUCAAAGCCUUGGGAAUAAGAGGGGGGCAAGACUGGUGUCAGCCGCCGCGGUAACACCAGCCCCUCGAGUGGUGGGGAUGAUUAUUUGGCCUAAAGCGUCCGUAGCCGGCCGAGCAAGUCUUCCGUUAAAUCCAGCGUCUCAAGCGUUGGACUGCGGGAGAUACUGCAGGGCUAGAGAGUGGGAGAGGUCAGCGGUAUUCUGGGGGUAGGGGCGAAAUCCUUUGAUCCCCGGAGGACCACCAGUGGCGAAGGCUGCUGACUAGAACACGUCUGACGGUCAGGGACGAAAGCUGGGGUAGCGAA
This 741-nucleotide ribosomal RNA is filed under the name uncultured archaeon. RNAcentral's name for it is "bacterial SSU rRNA". It matches the Rfam family "Archaeal small subunit ribosomal RNA", at positions 1 to 723 of the family's 1478-position model. The record is from RNAcentral.